Molecule: ribosomal RNA, 427 nt
Filed under: uncultured bacterium
Lineage: Bacteria
Description: partial 16S ribosomal RNA
Rfam family: Bacterial small subunit ribosomal RNA
Source: RNAcentral
UGGGGAAUAUUGGACAACGGGCGAAAGCCUGAUCCAGCCAUGCCGCGUGUGUGAAGAAGGUCUUCGGAUUGUAAAGCACUUUAAGUUGGGAGGAAGGGCAUUAACCUAAUACGUUAGUGUUUUGACGUUACCGACAGAAUAAGCACCGGCUAACUCUGUGCCAGCAGCCGCGGUAAUACAGAGGGUGCAAGCGUUAAUCGGAAUUACUGGGCGUAAAGCGCGCGUAGGUGGUUUGUUAAGUUGGAUGUGAAAUCCCCGGGCUCAACCUGGGAACUGCAUUCAAAACUGACUGACUAGAGUAUGGUAGAGGGUGGUGGAAUUUCCUGUGUAGCGGUGAAAUGCGUAGAUAUAGGAAGGAACACCAGUGGCGAAGGCGACCACCUGGACUAAUACUGACACUGAGGUGCGAAAGCGUGGGGAGCAAACA